Molecule: ribosomal RNA, 460 nt
Filed under: uncultured bacterium
Lineage: Bacteria
Description: partial 16S ribosomal RNA
Rfam family: Bacterial small subunit ribosomal RNA
Source: RNAcentral
CCUACGGGCGGCAGCAGUGAGGAAUAUUGGUCAAUGGCCGGAAGGCUGAACCAGCCAUGCCGCGUGAAGGUCAGUGCCCUAUGGGCGUUAAACUUCUUUUGUGCGGGAGCAAUAAUGGUCACGUGUGGCCAGACGAGAGUACCGUACGAAUAAGCAUCGGCUAACUCCGUGCCAGCAGCCGCGGUAAUACGGGGGAUGCAAGUGUUAUCCGGAUUUAUUGGGUUUAAAGGGUGCGUAGGCUGUGAGGUAAGUCAGCGGUGAAAUGCCCCCGCUCAACGGGGUGAAGUGCCAUUGAUACUGCCUUGCUGGAAUGCGGGUGCCGUGGGAGGAAUGUGUGGUGUAGCGGUGAAAUGCAUAGAUAUCACACAGAACACCGAUUGCGAAGGCAGCUCACGAAUCCGCGAUUGACGCUGAUGCACGAAAGCGUGGGUAUCAAACAGGAUUAGAUACCCGAGUAGUC